Molecule: non-coding RNA, 1243 nt
Organism: Phoenix dactylifera (date palm)
Lineage: Eukaryota; Viridiplantae; Streptophyta; Magnoliopsida; Arecales; Arecaceae
Source: RefSeq, a predicted model, not a curated record
UUCUUUCCUUUUCUUUUAUUUUUUUAAAGCUGUUUAUUCUCUUAUUGUCGAUAUUUCCACUAUUUUAUUUCAUGAACUCUUUGCAUACUUGGUGGAGUGCCAAAGUUCUCUUUUUUAUAAUAUAUAUAAGAAAAUAGUUGUUGUUGAGUUGAGCUCAACUGAUGUUUAUAUCUCUUGGUGUAUUUUGUUGUCAUGAUGUUGUUUGUGUGCUGCAGGCCAUGUCACCUUAAGCAUCAUCUGCUCAAUUUUAUUGGAAUGCAAACAGAUAUGAGAAUCUGCCACGAGGUAUUUGAAAAGACAGUUGGAUUGUGACAGCAAGGCUAGUCAUCUCCUCAUGAGCUUCAAGUCGUGCUGUGAGGAGCAAGAUUUUGUGUUGCACAAUGCGAAGGCGAGGUCGAUCAUUUAUAGACUCCCAGAGUGUGUUUUGGUCCUACUGAGGUGGUAAUUUGCAGGCAAGUUUAUAUUUCAGGUUCAAGAUGCCAAUUUCUCAAUUCUUUGACAAGACAUCUCCAUGCAGAAAAUGAAUUAUGUGGAGUAAAUUUUAAAAAAUCUAUUUUCAAAUGGGUUUCAAAGAAAAAUUAUUUUCAAUUGGUACUCUUAAUACUUUUUAUUCUAGAAAUUUUUAUUCAAAUUGAUAUUGUCCAUGCUCGAAUCUGGGCACAUAUCCGUGGCUUCUGGCUUUGUGGUUUCUGUGAUUUGAAUACUUCGAUCAAAGCCUUCUCCAUGCUAGUCCACUCGAAAGGCUGCAUGGCUCGUAUAGUUGUAUGUUAUGGUUUUCCAAAAGCCAUCUCUAAGUGCAAUUCAGGAGUUUCCAAUUCACCUAAAAAGAUUCAAUAUUUUUGCCUUUGUUUAUUUUUGUUGAUGUUUUUCAUCAUUUUCUCAUCCUUGUGUUCAACUGUUCAUUGCCUUCUUGGACUUGGGUAGUCGGUGGUCCAGAAGAAUACUCCUUGUCCAUUUACAUUCUUUAUGCUUUCAGACGUCUCUUCAGUGUUAUCCAUACGUUUGCCAUCUGUAGUUGGGGAGAUGAUAUCCAUAUGCUGAAACAGAAUCAGGUUUGUUCCGCUUCUACGUGCUGCGUCCUCAAGAUAAUAUUUGCUGCUGCUGGCAAGCUAUCCUAAGAUUCCUGUCCCCUGGAUCAUGCAUUCCGGCAUCUCCCUUUGUGAAUUCUUAGUAGCAGAAAGUAGGCUAUGAUUAGUUUAGAUGCUCGUAAUUUACUAUUAAUGGAGACAAUUCAUAUGGCCAA